This 468-nucleotide ribosomal RNA is filed under the name uncultured bacterium. Its description in RNAcentral is "partial 16S ribosomal RNA". It matches the Rfam family "Bacterial small subunit ribosomal RNA", at positions 28 to 507 of the family's 1533-position model. The record is from RNAcentral.
GACGAACGCUGGCGGCGUGCUUAACACAUGCAAGUCGAACGGUGAUGCCCCAGCUUGCUGGAGUGGCUCAGUGGCGAACGGGUGAGUAACACGUGAGCAACCUGCCCCAGACUCCGGAAUAAGCGCUGGAAACGGCGUCUCAUACUGGAUACGAAACUGGCCCGCAUGGGCAUGGUUUGGAAAGUUUUUCGGUUUGGGAUGGGCUCGCGGCCUAUCAGCUUGUUGGUGUGGUAAUGGCUCACCAAGGCGACGACGGGUAGCCGGCCUGAGCGGGCGACCGGCCACACUGGUACUGAGACACGGCCCAGACUCCUACGGGAGGCAGCAGUGGGUAAUAUUGCACAAUGGGCGAAAGCCUGAUGCAGCGACGCCGCGUGAGGGAUGACGUCCUUCGUGUUGUAAACCUCUUUCAGCAGGGAAGAAGCGAAAGUGACGUUACCUGCAGAAGAGGCACCGGCUAACUACGUG